Molecule: ribosomal RNA, 491 nt
Filed under: uncultured bacterium
Lineage: Bacteria
Description: partial 16S ribosomal RNA
Rfam family: Bacterial small subunit ribosomal RNA
Source: RNAcentral
GUGAACGCUGGCGGUAGGCCUAACACAUGCAAGUCGCACGGCAGCACAGUAAGAGCUUGCUCUUCCGGGUGGCGAGUGGCGGACGGGUGAGGAAUACAUCGGAAUCUACUUUUUCGUGGGGGAUAACGUAGGGAAACUUACGCUAAUACCGCAUACGACCUACGGGUGAAAGCAGGGGAUCUUCGGACCUUGCGCGAUUGAAUGAGCCGAUGUCGGAUUAGCUAGUUGGCGGGGUAAAGGCCCACCAAGGCGACGAUCCGUAGCUGGUCUGAGAGGAUGAUCAGCCACACUGGAACUGAGACACGGUCCAGACUCCUACGGGAGGCAGCAGUGGGGAAUAUUGGACAAUGGGCGCAAGCCUGAUCCAGCCAUACCGCGUGGGUGAAGAAGGCCUUCGGGUUGUAAAGCCCUUUUGUUGGGAAAGAAAAGCAGCAGGUUAAUACCCCGCUGUUCUGACGGUACCCAAAGAAUAAGCACCGGCUAACUUCGUG